RNAcentral lists this transfer RNA (85 nucleotides) under Bacteroidales bacterium. Its description in RNAcentral is "tRNA-Leu". It matches the Rfam family "tRNA". From Rfam's summary of the family: Transfer RNA (tRNA) molecules are approximately 80 nucleotides in length. Their secondary structure includes four short double-helical elements and three loops (D, anti-codon, and T loops). Further hydrogen bonds mediate the characteristic L-shaped molecular structure. tRNAs have two regions of fundamental functional importance: the anti-codon, which is responsible for specific mRNA codon recognition, and the 3' end, to which the tRNAs corresponding amino acid is attached (by aminoacyl-tRNA synthetases). tRNAs cope with the degeneracy of the genetic code in two manners: having more than one tRNA (with a specific anti-codon) for a particular amino acid; and 'wobble' base-pairing, i.e. permitting non-standard base-pairing at the 3rd anti-codon position. Lineage: Bacteria; Pseudomonadati; Bacteroidota; Bacteroidia; Bacteroidales. The record is from RNAcentral.
GCUCUGGUGGUGGAAUGGUGGACACGAGGGACUUAAAAUCCCUUGGGCAGGAAUGCCUGUACGAGUUCGAGUCUCGUCCGGAGCA